UGGGGAAUAUUCCGAAAUGGACGAAAGUCUGAUCUAGCAACACCGCGUGUGCGAUGAAGGCCUUCGGGUUGUAAAGCACUUUUUGGAAGGAUUAGGAAGGAAUGUACUUCCAGAAUAAGUCUCGGCUAACUACGUGCCAGCAGCCGCGGUAACACGUAGGAGGCGAACGUUAUCCGGAUUUACUGGGCGUAAAGCGCGUGUAGGUGGUUCUGUAAGUAGGGCGUGAAAGCUCCUGGCUCAACUGGGAGAGGCCGUUCUAAACUGCAGAGCUAGAGGAUGGUAGAGGGAGGUGGAAUUCCGGGUGUAGCGGUGGAAUGCGCAGAUAUCCGGAGGAACACCAGUGGCGAAGGCGGCCUCCUGGACCAUUCCUGACACUCAGACGCGAAAGCUAGGGUAGCAAACGG
This 404-nucleotide ribosomal RNA is filed under the name uncultured bacterium. RNAcentral describes it as "bacterial SSU rRNA". It matches the Rfam family "Bacterial small subunit ribosomal RNA", at positions 355 to 775 of the family's 1533-position model. The record is from RNAcentral.